Molecule: long non-coding RNA, 162 nt
Filed under: Mustela putorius furo (domestic ferret)
Lineage: Eukaryota; Metazoa; Chordata; Mammalia; Carnivora; Mustelidae
Description: lncRNA (ENSMPUG00000026686.1)
Source: RNAcentral
CGAAAACCUACCCCGGAAACAAAGGAAUUAACACUGCAUGGAAACGAAUUGGAAUCGAAGUCAACGAAGGAAAGAAGACCAUGUUCUAGUUCAUGAAGAAUGAGGCUUCCAUUCCAAGGGUAUUGGCUCCCAAGCCCCCCAGAUAAACGACCCCUGAGCGAC